CAGCACAGGUAGCAAUACUGGGUGGCGACCGGCAAACGGGUGCGGAACACGUACGCAACCUUCCUUUAAGCGGGGAAUAGCCCAGGGAAACUUGGAUUAAUACCCCAUAAGACAGUGGGAUGGCAUCAUUCAGCUGUUAAAGCUACGGCACUUAAAGAUGGGCGUGCGGCUGAUUAGGUAGUUGGCGGGGUAAAGGCCCACCAAGCCGACGAUCAGUAACUGGUGUGAGAGCACGACCAGUCACACGGGCACUGAGACACGGGCCCGACUCCUACGGGAGGCAGCAGUAAGGAAUAUUGGUCAAUGGACGCAAGUCUGAACCAGCCAUGCCGCGUGGAGGAUGAAGGCCCUCUGGGUUGUAAACUUCUUUUAUUGGGGAAGAAACCUGUCUUUUCUAAGGCAGUUGACGGUACCCAUUGAAUAAGCACCGGCUAACUCCGUGCCAGCAGCCGCGGUAAUACGGAGGGUGCAAGCGUUAUCCGGAUUCACUGGGUUUAAAGGGUGCGUAGGUGGGUAGGUAAGUCAGUGGUGAAAUCUCCAAGCUUAACUUGGAAACUGCCGUUGAUACUAUUUAUCUUGAAUAUAGUGGAGGUGAGCGGAAUAUGUCAUGUAGCGGUGAAAUGCUUAGAUAUGACAUAGAACACCAAUUGCGAAGGCAGCUUGCUACACUAUUAUUGACACUGAGGCACGAAAGCGUGGGGAUCAAACAGGAUUAGAUACCCUGGUAGUCCACGCCCUAAACGAUGGAUACUCGACAUCAGCGAUACACUGUUGGUGUCUGAGCGAAAGCAUUAAGUAU
RNAcentral lists this ribosomal RNA (799 nucleotides) under uncultured Sphingobacteriia bacterium. RNAcentral's name for it is "bacterial SSU rRNA". It matches the Rfam family "Bacterial small subunit ribosomal RNA", at positions 70 to 867 of the family's 1533-position model. The record is from RNAcentral. Lineage: Bacteria; Pseudomonadati; Bacteroidota; Sphingobacteriia.